CCUACGGGAGGCAGCAGUGAGGAAUAUUGGUCAAUGGGCGCGAGCCUGAACCAGCCAAGUCGCGUGAGGGAGGACGGCCCUACGGGUUGUAAACCUCUUUUGCCGGGGAGCAACGGGCGUCACGUGUGGCGCCCCUGAGAGUACCCGGAGAAAAAGCAUCGGCUAACCCCGGGCCAGCAGCCGCGGUAAUACGGAGGAUGCGAGCGUUAUCCGGUUUUAUUGGGUUUAAGGGGUGCGUAGGCGGAUCGUUAGGUCAGUGGUCAAAUUGAGGGGCUCAACCCCUUCCCGCCAUUGAAACUGGCGCUCUUGAGUGGAAGAGAAGUAUGCGGAAUGCGUGGUGUAGCGGUGAAAUGCAUAGAUAUCACGCAGAACCCCGAUUGCGAAGGCAGCAUGCCGGCUUCCGACUGACGCUGAAGCACGAAAGCGUGGGGAUCGAACAGGAUUAGAUACCCCUGUAGUC
This 460-nucleotide ribosomal RNA is filed under the name uncultured bacterium. RNAcentral describes it as "partial 16S ribosomal RNA". It matches the Rfam family "Bacterial small subunit ribosomal RNA", at positions 338 to 795 of the family's 1533-position model. The record is from RNAcentral.